UUUAUUAUGCCGUUGUCCGCU
Caenorhabditis elegans is the source of this 21-nucleotide non-coding RNA. Lineage: Eukaryota; Metazoa; Nematoda; Chromadorea; Rhabditida; Rhabditidae. The record is from Ensembl.